ACAUACAAUGCUAGGCUGCAACAGAAACUCUUGGUAAUUAAUUUGCUCCUCAUGAAUAUAGAUUCCAUAAGCCUUAUCUUUGUUUUUAAAAAUAAUAAAAACGUUUUUCAGUCAAAUCUGAAUUUACAUAUUUUCAUUUAUACCCUAAUCAGAUCUGCAAGGGUUAAAAAUAUUUCAUAUAAGUAAUGAGGCGGUGGCAAUGUUGUUAAACUACAACGCAUUCCAAACAAGCUUGAACCCCUGGUUUAUUCAAGAGGCCAUUGUGAAAAGGAACUACAUGAGGCCCCAUAAAACCCUUUAUUGUUUGUAGUUCUUUAUUUAAACAUUUUCAUAUUUAUCUUGUAAAUAGGUUACCCAUAA
Molecule: long non-coding RNA, 360 nt
Filed under: Amborella trichopoda
Lineage: Eukaryota; Viridiplantae; Streptophyta; Magnoliopsida; Amborellales; Amborellaceae
Description: long non-coding RNA (ATRI_LNC001796)
Source: RNAcentral